CCUACGGGAGGCUGCAGUGAGGAAUAUUGGUCAAUGGUCGGGAGACUGAACCAGCCAAGCCGCGUGAGGGAGGAAGGUACAGAGUAUCGUAAACCUCUUUUGUCAGGGAACAAAGGCGGGGACGUGUCCCCGGAUGAGUGUACCUGAAGAAAAAGCAUCGGCUAACUCCGUGCCAGCAGCCGCGGUAAUACGGAGGAUGCGAGCGUUAUCCGGAUUUAUUGGGUUUAAAGGGUGCGCAGGCGGUCUGUUAAGUACGCGGUCAAAGCCCGGGGCUCACCCCCGGCCCGCCGUUGAAACUGGCAGUCUUGAGUUGGAGAGAAGUAUGCGGAAUGCGCGGUGUAGCGGUGAGAUGCAUAGAUAUCGCGCAGAACUCCGAUUGCGAAGGCAGCAUGCCGGCUCCACACUGACGCUGAGGCACGAAAGCGUGGGUAUCGAACAGGAUUAGAUACCCUUGUAGUC
RNAcentral lists this ribosomal RNA (459 nucleotides) under uncultured bacterium. Its description in RNAcentral is "partial 16S ribosomal RNA". It matches the Rfam family "Bacterial small subunit ribosomal RNA", at positions 338 to 795 of the family's 1533-position model. The record is from RNAcentral.